This 463-nucleotide ribosomal RNA is filed under the name Vreelandella stevensii. RNAcentral's name for it is "partial 16S ribosomal RNA". It matches the Rfam family "Bacterial small subunit ribosomal RNA", at positions 340 to 795 of the family's 1533-position model. The record is from RNAcentral. Lineage: Bacteria; Pseudomonadati; Pseudomonadota; Gammaproteobacteria; Oceanospirillales; Halomonadaceae.
CACGGGGGGCUGCAGUGGGGAAUAUUGGACAAUGGGCGAAAGCCUGAUCCAGCCAUGCCGCGUGUGUGAAGAAGGCCUUCGGGUUGUAAAGCACUUUCAGUGGGGAAGAAAGCCUUGGGGCUAAUACCCUCGAGGAAGGACAUCACCCACAGAAGAAGCACCGGCUAACUCCGUGCCAGCAGCCGCGGUAAUACGGAGGGUGCGAGCGUUAAUCGGAAUUACUGGGCGUAAAGCGCGCGUAGGCGGUCUGAUAAGCCGGUUGUGAAAGCCCCGGGCUCAACCUGGGAACGGCAUCCGGAACUGUCAGGCUAGAGUGCAGGAGAGGAAGGUAGAAUUCCCGGUGUAGCGGUGAAAUGCGUAGAGAUCGGGAGGAAUACCAGUGGCGAAGGCGGCCUUCUGGACUGACACUGACGCUGAGGUGCGAAAGCGUGGGUAGCAAACAGGAUUAGAUACCCGGGUAGUC